AGCGAACGCUGGCGGCAGGCCUAACACAUGCAAGUCGAACGAACCUUUCGGGGUUAGUGGCGGACGGGUGAGUAACACGUGGGAACGUGCCUUUAGGUUCGGAAUAACUCAGGGAAACUUGUGCUAAUACCGAAUGUGCCCUUCGGGGGAAAGAUUAAUCGCCUUUAGAGCGGCCCGCGUCUGAUUAGCUAGUUGGUUGAGGUAAUGGCUCACCAAGGCGACGAUCAGUAGCUGGUCUGAGAGGAUGAUCAGCCACAUUGGGACUGAGACACGGCCCAAACUCCUACGGGAGGCAGCAGUGGGGAAUCUUGCGCAAUGGGCGAAAGCCUGACGCAGCCAUGCCGCGUGAAUGAUGAAGGUCUUAGGAUUGUAAAAUUCUUUCACCGGGGACGAUAAUGACGGUACCCGGAGAAGAAGCCCCGGCUAACUUUGUG
RNAcentral lists this ribosomal RNA (434 nucleotides) under uncultured bacterium. RNAcentral describes it as "partial 16S ribosomal RNA". It matches the Rfam family "Bacterial small subunit ribosomal RNA", at positions 29 to 507 of the family's 1533-position model. The record is from RNAcentral.